GAUUUUAAAAUAAUUUUAUUUGCAUUAAAAUUUUGGAGUAACUCCUGGAAUCA
This 53-nucleotide transfer RNA is filed under the name Tubulipora flabellaris. Its description in RNAcentral is "tRNA-Ala". Lineage: Eukaryota; Metazoa; Bryozoa; Stenolaemata; Tubuliporida; Tubuliporidae. The record is from RNAcentral.